This 76-nucleotide transfer RNA is filed under the name Pseudonocardiales bacterium. RNAcentral's name for it is "tRNA-Gln". It matches the Rfam family "tRNA". From Rfam's summary of the family: Transfer RNA (tRNA) molecules are approximately 80 nucleotides in length. Their secondary structure includes four short double-helical elements and three loops (D, anti-codon, and T loops). RNAcentral also lists the same sequence under 1 other name. Lineage: Bacteria; Bacillati; Actinomycetota; Actinomycetes; Pseudonocardiales. The record is from RNAcentral.
UCCCGGGUUGCUCUGCUGGCAUGGGCGACUAGAUUUUGGAUCUAGGUACUCGUAGGUUCGAUUCCUACCCCGGGAG